CUGCAUUUUAGAAUCCUUCCAUAAAUUACACACCUCCUUUAAAAAUGAUCCAAGAUGUAACUUGCUUUCAAAGUUGUCUAAAUUGCAAGGAUCUACACUGAAGGAAAAAUUCAAUGUGAAUUCCAAAUUCAAGACAAAACAAAUCUUCCAUUUUGGCAUAAAGAAGUUAGCAUAUUCCUUUGAAAAUAUAACUCUUUGAAUACAUCCCGUUACCUAAUAGUGUGUAUGGUGAAUGAGUUUACAUGUAAUCUUUAGGUGGGUGAAGAUCCAAAGGCCUCUUAAAAAUGAAAACCGAAAUUGAUGCACCCAAACAACAGCACUUCACGCACUGUUAUCCACAACUUACAAACCAAAAUCAGAUGUCAAUUCUUAGGGACACAAAUUGUAGCCGUUGGUCAAAUACCUGAAAGGUAUGAAACACAUCCAGCUAUUAAAGGACCAAUAUAGUCACCCAGACCACUUCAG
Molecule: non-coding RNA, 465 nt
Organism: Pelobates cultripes (western spadefoot toad)
Lineage: Eukaryota; Metazoa; Chordata; Amphibia; Anura; Pelobatidae
Source: the annotation of a GenBank genome assembly